Molecule: non-coding RNA, 169 nt
Organism: Faecalibaculum rodentium
Lineage: Bacteria; Bacillati; Bacillota; Erysipelotrichia; Erysipelotrichales; Erysipelotrichaceae
Source: Rfam
AUGACUGUAAGGGGGUUCGUGAAAGAAGCGUGUAUCAAAGUUCCGAACCUACGAACAGAAAUCGGAUAUAAGGCUGUGGCGGCGGGAGAGGGCGCCGAUGUGUCUUAACCCAACAGGCAGACGUAGCCAAAGCAGUAAAUCAGGAGGUCAUGGAACGAAAGAAGUGCAC